Molecule: regulatory RNA element, 162 nt
Rfam family: Ribosomal protein L10 leader
About the family: This family is a putative r-protein leader autoregulatory structure found in B. subtilis and other low-GC Gram-positive bacteria. It is located in the 5' untranslated regions of mRNAs encoding ribosomal proteins L10 and L12 (rplJ-rplL). A Rho-independent transcription terminator structure that is probably involved in regulation is included at the 3' end.
Source: Rfam
UAAUUUCAUUGGCUUGUACCAAAGACAGCAGGUGUUCAUCACUUAAUAUCCUGCCGAGGUCAACGCCCGACGUAUCCCCUGUUGCUGUACAUCAAAAUUAAAGUACAGGUAUAAAAGAUACUCAGCGUAACCCCGGCAUGUCCGGGGUUUCGUUAUGGCUAA